AUCCGUGUUAAGGCGAUAUCCUAUACAUCAUGUCCGUCAUGAUUCUAUAUAACAAUUCUAUUUGGCAAAUAAAGGCCAGAUAGCAAAGCUAUACGCACAGUUUUAAGUUACCAACGGCGUUAUAGGCGACAACUAAAAAGAAGAAAUGGUCGACAAAACAAAAUGUAAAGUGUUUUGCACGAUCCUACUCUGCCUCUUCCAAUUAAGUUUGGAACUGGCAGCAUUGUUCAACCCUGAAUGGAUAGUGGCAAAAAAUGCUACAUUAGCUUUCGUUGAGAAUUUUCAAAAUCCUGUCAACCCCGACUCUAUGGACUCGCUGGUUAAAACAAAUCUACUCUCUGGGAACGAAAGUGCAAAUUCGAUAGGAACAACAAUAGCACCAGUGAAGAAGGAUGAAAACUCGAUAUAUCUUAGCGCUGCAAUCGGGUUGUUGGAAACGCUGAUUAAAGGAACAACGUUACCAGAAAAUAGAGAAGGUUUGAAAGGUGUGGUCGGAUUCAUCGUAGUGUCUUUAAUCGCAUCUUUUUUGGCCUUUUACACAGCAUCUCUUUGCUAAAUAAAGAAAUGUGCAAGAAUUGCGAAAUAUGCGAAUAUCCUAACCAAAAAUGCCAAAAGUGUUUAAAAUCUAUUGUUGAAAAACUAAGGACGAUUGCAAAAAGUAACUAUGCAGCAGGCGUCAGUGCAGCAGCAGCAAGUGCGAUGUUUGUCUACACUACAGAUGACUUGGUCGACGUUUCAUUCGGAUGGAGUUUUAUACUAGAAGUUUCUGCAUCAGUAUUACCGUGUUUCACUUUCUUUUGUAAUAUCUGUAUGGAAGAAGACCCAAACACUGUAUCAGCGGAAAAUCAAGAUGGGGCUAAUGAGCAUAGGCAUCAAGAUACACAAUGCUGAUCAAGUGUAAAUUAAACAGAGUAUACACAUAUACGUAAAAAAAGUAACAUACCAUUAUAUGAUACCCAGAUUGUGGAGUGUGUAUUAGCCUACUUACAAAAACCUAAAAAUGGAUAUGGCAUUUUUUUAGUAAUUUUCGUAUUUGUCAGUAAUUUCGUGUUAUAUUAAACAGUUCAUUUCCGACAUUGUAUUUUUGUUAUAUAUGUGCGCGUACUCAUUUGGUUAAUAAACAUCUAUACUCCCUCGC
Non-coding RNA from Ciona intestinalis (vase tunicate), 1138 nucleotides. The record is from RefSeq and is a predicted model, not a curated record. Lineage: Eukaryota; Metazoa; Chordata; Ascidiacea; Phlebobranchia; Cionidae.